GAUGAACGCUGGCGGCGUGCCUAAUACAUGCAAGUCGAGCGAACGGACGAGAAGCUUGCUUUUCUGAUGUUAGCGGCGGACGGGUGAGUAACACGUGGAUAACCUACCUAUAAGACUGGGAUAACUUCGGGAAACCGGUGCUAAUACCGGAUAAUAUUUUGAACCGCAUGGUUCAAAAGUGAAAGACGGUCUUGCUGUCACUUAUAGAUGGAUCCGCGCUGCAUUAGCUAGUUGGUAAGGUAACGGCUUACCAAGGCAACGAUGCAUAGCCGACCUGAGAGGGUGAUCGGCCACACUGGAACUGAGACACGGUCCAGACUCCUACGGGAGGCAGCAGUAGGGAAUCUUCCGCAAUGGGCGAAAGCCUGACGGAGCAACGCCGCGUGAGUGAUGAAGGUCUUCGGAUCGUAAAACUCUGUUAUUAGGGAAGAACAUAUGUGUAAGUAACUGUGCACAUCUUGACGGUACCUAAUCAGAAAGCCACGGCUAACUACGUG
This 497-nucleotide ribosomal RNA is filed under the name uncultured bacterium. Its description in RNAcentral is "partial 16S ribosomal RNA". It matches the Rfam family "Bacterial small subunit ribosomal RNA", at positions 28 to 507 of the family's 1533-position model. The record is from RNAcentral.